Molecule: ribosomal RNA, 485 nt
Filed under: uncultured bacterium
Lineage: Bacteria
Description: bacterial SSU rRNA
Rfam family: Bacterial small subunit ribosomal RNA
Source: RNAcentral
GAUGAACGCUGACAGAAUGCUUAACACAUGCAAGUCGACUGGAAUUCUUCUUCGGAAGUUAGUACGGUGGCGGACGGGUGAGUAACGCGUAAAGAAUUUGCCCUUUAGACUGGGACAACUAACCGAAAGGUUAGCUAAUACCGGAUAUUAUGAGAUCUUGGCAUCAAGAACUUAUGAAAGCUAUAUGCGCUAGAGGAGAACUUUGCGUCCCAUUAGCUAGUUGGUAGGGUAAUGGCCUACCAAGGCAACGAUGGGUAGCCGGCCUGAGAGGGUGAACGGCCACAAGGGGACUGAGACACGGCCCUUACUCCUACGGGAGGCAGCAGUGGGGAAUAUUGGACAAUGGACCAAAAGUCUGAUCCAGCAAUUCUGUGUGCACGAUGAAGGUCUUCGGAUUGUAAAGUGCUUUCAGGUGGGAAGAAGAAAGUGACGGUACCACCAGAAGAAGCGACGGCUAAAUACGUGCCAGCAGCCGCCGCUGUAAC